RNAcentral lists this ribosomal RNA (365 nucleotides) under Salmonella sp. CAR11. Its description in RNAcentral is "bacterial SSU rRNA". It matches the Rfam family "Bacterial small subunit ribosomal RNA", at positions 1011 to 1377 of the family's 1533-position model. Lineage: Bacteria; Pseudomonadati; Pseudomonadota; Gammaproteobacteria; Enterobacterales; Enterobacteriaceae. The record is from RNAcentral.
GUGCAUUCGGGAUCCGUGAGACAGGUGCUGCAUGGCUGUCGUCAGCUCGUGUUGUGAAAUGUUGGGUUAAGUCCCGCAACGAGCGCAACCCUUAUCCUUUGUUGCCAGCGUCAGGCCGGGAACUCAAAGGAGACUGCCAGUGAUAAACUGGAGGAAGGUGGGGAUGACGUCAAGUCAUCAUGGCCCUUACGACCAGGGCUACACACGUGCUACAAUGGCGCAUACAAAGAGAAGCGACCUCGCGAGAGCAGCCGGACCUCAUAAAGUGCGUCGUAGUCCGGAUUUGAAGUCUGCAACUCGACUCCAUGAAGUCGGGAAUCGCUAGUAAUCGUGGGAUCAGAAUGCCACGGUGAAUACGUUCCCGG